CUCCAUUUACUUUUGGGACCUAUCAGCUGUGACGUUCUCUUCCUAGCCAUGGAAGAGCUUUUUACUAUUGGAAAAGCUGUUAACUUUUACAUGAUAUUAGGUUUGGACUUGCACAAGUAACAUUC
This 125-nucleotide small nucleolar RNA is filed under the name Neotoma lepida (desert woodrat). Its description in RNAcentral is "Small nucleolar RNA SNORA24". It matches the Rfam family "Small nucleolar RNA SNORA24". Rfam says of the family: ACA24 is a member of the H/ACA class of snoRNA that guide the sites of modification of uridines to pseudouridines. The record is from Rfam by way of RNAcentral. Lineage: Eukaryota; Metazoa; Chordata; Mammalia; Rodentia; Cricetidae.